GGUCAUAGGUCAGUGGUGGAGCAUCUGCUUUGCAUGCAGAAGGUCUCAGGUUCAAUCCUUGACAGCAUCU
RNAcentral lists this transfer RNA (70 nucleotides) under Podarcis lilfordi (Lilford's wall lizard). RNAcentral describes it as "tRNA.Ala". The stretch from base 6 to 62 matches the Rfam family "tRNA", at positions 8 to 63 of the family's 71-position model. Rfam says of the family: Transfer RNA (tRNA) molecules are approximately 80 nucleotides in length. Their secondary structure includes four short double-helical elements and three loops (D, anti-codon, and T loops). Lineage: Eukaryota; Metazoa; Chordata; Lepidosauria; Squamata; Lacertidae. The record is from RNAcentral.